AUAUAUAAAGCGACUGUAAGAGCUUUUGUCACCACACGACUCGUCGUCUUCGUCGCAUCUGCUUUGUUUACAUCCAUUAUAGAGCUCUCUAGUCGAGGACAUGUACGGCUUGCUUGGAAAGUACCUCCUCUUGCUGGUUGCUGCCACACUCGUUACGCUGAUUAUUGCCCCAUACCAAGCUGGCGCAAUUCCACCGAUGGCCUUCGAGCUCGUCAGAAAGGGCCCUGUUGGACGAAGUGAAGAAAAUGUCAAGUAAUGACGCAUCAGUCUUCGUGAAACAGUGCGGUCAGUCUGUAUUGCAUUGACGCUGCCUGCUU
Dermacentor silvarum is the source of this 317-nucleotide long non-coding RNA. RefSeq lists it as uncharacterized. The transcript is spliced from 3 exons. The record is from RefSeq and is a predicted model, not a curated record. Lineage: Eukaryota; Metazoa; Arthropoda; Arachnida; Ixodida; Ixodidae.